This 428-nucleotide unclassified non-coding RNA is filed under the name Hevea brasiliensis (rubber tree). The record is from RNAcentral. Lineage: Eukaryota; Viridiplantae; Streptophyta; Magnoliopsida; Malpighiales; Euphorbiaceae.
GGAAAAAGCUUGCUCGGAGAUUGCUGUUUGACAAAAGUGCCAAUGAUGAUCACGAGAGGAGUAUCUUGACAAAAUUGAAGCAGCAAUGUGGGGGGCAGUUUACGUCAAAAAUGGAAGGCAUGGUAACUGAUUUAACACUAGCACGAGACCACCAAACGGGUUUCGAGGAGUAUCUAAACCUUAAUACGCAUGCACAUCCUGGAAUUGACAUGACGGUUACUGUUCUGACAACGGGAUUUUGGCCGAGUUAUAAAUCUUUUGAUCUCAACCUUCCAGCUGAGAUGGUUAAAUGCGUCGAAGUUUUCCGAGAGUUCUAUCAGACCAAAACCAAACACAGAAAGCUUACAUGGAUAUAUUCAUUGGGGACUUGUAAUGUCAUCGGUAAAUUUGAAGCAAAGCCCAUUGAGCUGGUCGUAACGACUUAUCAG